RNAcentral lists this ribosomal RNA (497 nucleotides) under uncultured bacterium. RNAcentral describes it as "partial 16S ribosomal RNA". It matches the Rfam family "Bacterial small subunit ribosomal RNA", at positions 28 to 507 of the family's 1533-position model. The record is from RNAcentral.
GAUGAACGCUGGCGGCGUGCCUAAUACAUGCAAGUCGAGCGAACAGACGAGGAGCUUUCUCCUCUGACGUUAGCGGCGGACGGGCGAGUAACACGUGGAUAACCUACCUAUAAGACUGGGAUAACUUCGGGAAACCGGAGCUAAUACCAGAUAAUAUAUUGAACCGCAUGGUUCAAUAGUUAAAGACGGUUUUGCUGUCACUUAUAGAUGGAUCCGCGCCGCAUUAGCUAGUUGGUAAGGUAACGGCUUACCAAGGCAACGAUGCGUAGCCGACCUGAGAGGGUGAUCGGCCACACUGGAACUGAGACACGGUCCAGACUCCUACGGGAGGCAGCAGUAGGGAAUCUUCCGCAAUGGGCGAAAGCCUGACGGAGCAACGCCGCGUGAGUGAUGAAGGUCUUCGGAUCGUAAAACUCUGUUAUUAGGGAAGAACAAAUGUGUAAGUAACUAUGCACGUCUUGACGGUACCUAAUCAGAAAGCCACGGCUAACUACGUG